UCCCCGUUCACCGGGGCAGUCCCCUCAGAGUGCUCGGCAUAACCCGCUAGCAACAGAGGGCGAGGGUUGCGCUCGUUGCGGGACUUAACCCAACAUGUCACCACACGAGCUGACGACAGCCAUGCAGCACCUGUCUCUCUGUCGUAUUGCUACGAAAGACGCAUCUCUGCGUUUGUCAGAGGAUGUCAAAUCCAGGUAAGGUUCUUCGCGUUGCUUCGAAUUAAACCACAUGAUCCACCGCUUGUGCGGGCCCCCGUCAAUUCCUUUGAGUUUUAGUCUUGCGACCGUACUUCCCAGGCGGGGUACUUAUUGCGUUAGCGCCGGUUCGGCGGGGGUCAAGACCCACCAAACCUAGUACCCAUCGUUUACAGCGUGGACUAC
This 381-nucleotide unclassified non-coding RNA is filed under the name uncultured Oligoflexales bacterium. Its description in RNAcentral is "contains 16S-23S intergenic spacer region". Lineage: Bacteria; Pseudomonadati; Bdellovibrionota; Oligoflexia; Oligoflexales. The record is from RNAcentral.